Long non-coding RNA from Penaeus monodon (black tiger shrimp), 295 nucleotides. RefSeq lists it as uncharacterized. NCBI's taxonomy places the organism in Eukaryota, Metazoa, Arthropoda, Malacostraca, Decapoda, Penaeidae. The record is from RefSeq and is a predicted model, not a curated record. The transcript is spliced from 3 exons.
GUCGAUUUGAGUGCUACAGGAAAUUCAACGAUGAAGUGGAUCGGUUUGACUUUCUUGUUGUUGUCAUCCUUGAUGGUGGCAACAGAAGCGCGACCCCAAGCCAGGUUCCCGCCUUACUUUCCUACAAGAGGGCCCUUCAUCCCUCCAUACCCCUGCAACUGCACGUUCCCACCGUGUCCUUGUGAUCCUCCUAGACCCAUCGACUUCUUAAGGGUCAAGCGACAAGUGUGAAGAGGACUCCGGAGGGCUCGGCGACAACUGUGAAGAAGACUCCGGAGAUCCCUGCGACAAGUGU